Planoprotostelium fungivorum is the source of this 93-nucleotide non-coding RNA. Lineage: Eukaryota; Evosea; Variosea; Cavosteliida; Cavosteliaceae. The record is from the annotation of a GenBank genome assembly.
GUCUGCGUAGCUCAGUCGGUUAGAGUGUAGGUCUCAUAUCUACAAAUCAAUAGGGAAAUCCUAAGGUCGCGAGUUCGAUCCUCGCCGCGGACA